CAGCCAUAUAAUGUUGAAACACUGGUUCCUGUAUGACCACCAAAGUUAAGCAAUGUUGAGCCUAGUCAGUACCUUGAUGGGUGACCUCUUGGGAAUACAAGGUACUGUAAG
This is a non-coding RNA of Acanthosepion pharaonis, 111 nucleotides long. The record is from the annotation of a GenBank genome assembly. NCBI's taxonomy places the organism in Eukaryota, Metazoa, Mollusca, Cephalopoda, Sepiida, Sepiidae.